GAUGAACGCUGGCGGCGUGCCUAAUACAUGCAAGUCGAGCGAACGGACGAGAAGCUUGCUCCUCUGAUGUUAGCGGCGGACGGGUGAGUAACACGUGGAUAACCUACCUAUAAGACUGGGAUAACUUCGGGAAACCGGAGCUAAUACCGGAUGAUAUUUUGAACCGCAUGGUUCAAAAGUGAAAGACGGUCUUGCUGUCACUUAUAGAUGGAUCCGCGCUGCAUUAGCUAGUUGGUAAGGUAACGGCUUACCAAGGCAACGAUGCAUAGCCGACCUGAGAGGGUGAUCGGCCACACUGGAACUGAGACACGGCCGAGACUCCUACGGGAGGCAGCAGUAGGGAAUCUUACGCAAUGGGCGAAAGCCUGACGGAGCAACGCCGCGUGAGUGAUGAAGGUCUUCGGAUCGUAAAACUCUGUUAUUAGGGAAGAACAAAUGUGUAAGUAACUGUGCACAUCUUGACGGUACCUAAUCAGAAAGCCACGGCUAACUACGUG
RNAcentral lists this ribosomal RNA (497 nucleotides) under uncultured bacterium. RNAcentral's name for it is "partial 16S ribosomal RNA". It matches the Rfam family "Bacterial small subunit ribosomal RNA", at positions 28 to 507 of the family's 1533-position model. The record is from RNAcentral.